Long non-coding RNA from Oryza sativa Japonica Group (Japanese rice), 956 nucleotides. RefSeq lists it as uncharacterized. The record is from RefSeq and is a predicted model, not a curated record. NCBI's taxonomy places the organism in Eukaryota, Viridiplantae, Streptophyta, Magnoliopsida, Poales, Poaceae.
AUCGUCUCCACCUCCCACGCGCGUCAAACGCCCGAGAAUACGGUCGCCAUCCCGCAAUCCGCCAAUCCGCCCCUCUCCCAGCGCCGAUGUCCCUCACAAUCGUCGCCCUGGCCGCAGUAGCGCCUCCCCCUCCCCAAGCCUGGCUAUUGCUCCCUGAGCCGGCCGGCUGCAGAUCGCCUCGCCGCAACGCAAGCGCGUGAUUUCCUCCCCCUCCCCCACGCGAACGCGAUCUCCUCCCCUUCCGAAGAUUGGGGAAACGCAAGCCUGCAAGUGUGGAGGCAUCCAUCCGCCUGACGUUGCAGCCGUCGGCGCGGACGCCGCUGAUCCCGAGUCGACACCAACCAGGCCACUGGCUGAUCUACUUCCAAGCUCAUGCGCGUGAGCAGAUAUCUUCCUCUCCGGAAAUUGAUUUGGGACGAAAUUGAUGGAUUACUAAUGGUUGUUGCAACAGGGUAAUUUGCCCUCAAUCUGAGGUGCAUUGCGUGUUGUUCAGUGCAAUUCGAAACCAGAUAAUUUCUUGAUUUUUCAAAAUGCACCUUCUGCUGUAACAGCAGUAAAAAAUGCUGGAAUGUGAUUGGCCAUUACAUGUACAUAUGUGUAAAAAAUAAAGAUGCACCUUGGUAUUUAAUAUUUCUUGAACUUCCAUUCUCCUUUUUCUUUCUUUCUUCUUCUUAUUUAUUAUUUAUUAUAUUUUACUUUUUGCAUAGAGCAGCAAACUGAUAAUAAUCAGUGCUUGGCUACUUGGUACCUUCUGAAUAUUUACUAUGUGGUUCGUGAGAUUGGUAAUAUGUUCCAUCAAUGAAUGACUAGGCUUCAAGGCUAAGAGGGCAGAUGACGAAUGUAGUGAUAUAUGUAGCUGCCUACGAGCUAAUAUUAUUGACCUUUGGGCUUUGGAUUAGAACUGUAAUAAAUAAAGUAUCAAUUGAUUAUGUAAACAUUUCUUCUCGUUGUUGGCA